GACGAACGCUGGCGGCGUGCUUAACACAUGCAAGUCGAGCGGACAGGCCCUGCUUUUGUGGCGUGCUCGUGUGGCGAACGCGUGUGUAAAACGCGAGUAACCUGCCCUUGACUUUGGGGUAACUUCCGGAAACUGGGGCUCUUACCGGCUAGGAGCUCUUGCUGCAUGGUGGGCGUUGGAAAGUUUCGGUGUUUCGGUCUGUACUCGCGGCGUAUCAGCUUGUUGGUGAGGUAGUGGCUUACCCAGGCUUUGACGGGUAGCCGACCUGACAGGGUGGUCGGCCACCCUGGAGCUGAGACAGGGUCCAGACUCCUACGGGAGGGAGCAGUAGGCAAUCGUACGCAGUGGGCGAAAGCCUGACGGAGCAACGCCGCGUGAGUGAUGAAGGUCUUCGGAUCGUAAAACUCUGUUAUUAGGGAAGAACAGCUGUGUAAUGAACUAUGGACGUCUUGACGGUACCUGGUCAGAAAGCCCCGGCUAACUACGUG
This 488-nucleotide ribosomal RNA is filed under the name uncultured bacterium. RNAcentral describes it as "partial 16S ribosomal RNA". It matches the Rfam family "Bacterial small subunit ribosomal RNA", at positions 28 to 507 of the family's 1533-position model. The record is from RNAcentral.